RNAcentral lists this non-coding RNA (21 nucleotides) under Caenorhabditis elegans. Lineage: Eukaryota; Metazoa; Nematoda; Chromadorea; Rhabditida; Rhabditidae. The record is from RNAcentral.
UGUUGUGUUGUAUCGAGUUGU